CCUACGGGAGGCAGCAGUGGGGAAUAUUGGGCAAUGGACGCAAGUCUGACCCAGCAACGCCGCGUGAAGGAAGAAGGCUUUCGGGUUGUAAACUUCUUUUUUCAGGGACGAAGCAAGUGACGGUACCUGACGAAUAAGCCACGGCUAACUACGUGCCAGCAGCCGCUGUAAUACGUAGGUGGCAAGCGUUAUCCGGAUUUACUGGGUGUAAAGGGCGUGUAGGCGGGACUGCAAGUCAGAUGUGAAAACCACGGGGUCAACCUGUGGCCUGCAUUUGAAACUGUAGUUCUUGAGUACUGGAGAGGCAGACGGAAUUCCUAUUGUAGCGGUGAAAGGCGUAGAUAUUAGGAGGAACACCAGUGGCGAAGGCGGUCUGCUGGACAGCAACUGACGCUGAGGCGCGAAAGCGUGGGGAGCAAACAGGAUUAGAUACCCCGUAGU
RNAcentral lists this ribosomal RNA (441 nucleotides) under uncultured bacterium. Its description in RNAcentral is "partial 16S ribosomal RNA". It matches the Rfam family "Bacterial small subunit ribosomal RNA", at positions 338 to 794 of the family's 1533-position model. The record is from RNAcentral.